This 3532-nucleotide long non-coding RNA is filed under the name Sorghum bicolor (sorghum). Its description in RNAcentral is "long non-coding RNA (SBIC_LNC013671)". The record is from RNAcentral. Lineage: Eukaryota; Viridiplantae; Streptophyta; Magnoliopsida; Poales; Poaceae.
AUCUCCACUCUAUCUCUCUCAAUCUAGUAGAACUUAGAAGAACUAAUUCUACUCUCACAUUGGAUGCUAAGCCCUAAGUCUAUUUAAUGGAAAGGUUAUCCUUCGAGGGCACCUCUCAACUCUAUGAUGACUUGUUCUCCUCCAGGGGCCAGGGGGUCUGCUUAUAUAGUCCCCUCAAGUGAAUCUGGGCCGUUGGAUCAAAUCGACAUUUAUUGAAUGGUUAUCCUUUAUCCUUUAGGUCGGUGGAGCGUAAUCCGCGAGACGGGUCCUGAUUGGACUCUGCACUAGGGCGGGCGCCCUAGGGGGGAGGGCGGGCGCCCUACCCCCGGGCCUGUUCGCCUUCCCGUUCGUUCCCGAGGCUUCUGGAGUCUUCUAGAUGAUAGAAAAUUGCGUGGCACGUUAAUAUCUCUAUGUAAACCCGAUGUGUGGGCCUUUCUUCCAUAUUUCGUGAUAACCCCCUGCAGAAAUAGACAAACACCAAAACUUGUGGAAUUCUGUCAGAUAAAACCCUAAGUCUGGGUGUUGGUUGCAUUUGGAUCCUUUUCUUUAUUUAUUUGAUGAUUAUAUUUGGUACUUAAGGACCGUCAACAAACUCCCCCAAGCUUACCUUUUGCUCGUCCCUGAGCAAGGAUGUACUCAAGAGUUUCUACAAUGGUUUCAUGCCUCAAAAGUACACAUGCGUUCAAGCAAGAUCUCAUCUCUGAGUUGUAGUAAACUGUUAAGACUUAAAACUUACUCAUUUUACCUUUCACCAUGGGGCUUGCAACCAUCACUUUUGUCUUGAGCAGUUAAAAGAUAGAACGGUCAAGCCAAGCGCCAUGUCUCUUGUUCUUUGAUCAGCUAUAGCUCUGGAGUUUUUGCAGAUUUUCAAAUAAAACUCAGGGAUUCCUUGUAUGACUCUCUCAAAUCUCUCUUUUGUGGUAUUUCUGGAUCCUUUCCAAGGCAGUAAUGGUAUAUGCCUUCUCUCUCACCCUACUCUAAUAAGGUUUUGAUAUCUGGAGCUCAUAUGUGGGAGACAGAUAAUACAUACUUACAAGACAUUUAUUGCAUAGUGAAACCAUGGAUCCAGAAGAACAAGUCAAUAAGUCAAAUCAAGAUGUGCAUGUGUGGCGAGUGAAUGGUGUAUGGUGAUGAUGGUGAUAACAAUGGUGGAAGUCUAAUUCUACUUUUGCUGUUUUGCGGGGAUACAUACCUUUCUUGCUCUUUGAAGCUUUUUGAGGAGAAUGAGAUGCUCUAUAUUUUCUUUUUCUUUCCUCUCAGGUGGGUAUCUUGUACCCCUAAUUCUACUGUCGAACACUUGUCUAUUUUUACCUCUCGUCUCACUUUUUCUUUUCUUUGAGGUUCCGGGCACUUGCCUCUUUUUAUUUCCUCGUAUUCUUUCUCUCUUUCUUUUUUCUUUUUUUUCUUCUUUUUUUAAAGCACUCAUCUCCUGAAAUAAUAUAGCAAGUGGUAGUAACUAAGAUAACUUGAGCAUUUAUUUCACAUGGAAAAAUAGAAAUAGGAGAAUGUUUUUAGCUAUUCUCUCCUGAAUUAGGAGUAGAAUACUUUUGGGUGGCUCUAGAGAUGGAAAUGAGUGGACGCGUACUUCUGGAGUAGAAGCAGAAUGUGUGAGUGAACGUGCAAGUGAAUCUUGAUUUUAACCGCAUGACAAGCUCCUAAGGGUCUACACAGCUUGACCACACUCAAUGCUCAUAAGCAGUAAAAGUAAAUAUGUGGCUCAAAGUCUAGCAAGCAUGUAUAUAUGGCUGUGGUAGGAAUUUAAACUCUCAUCAUAUAGGAACUCAUCAUGUGUUAUUUUAAAGAUUUUCAAAGAUAAAAUUCUCCAGAAUUCUAGCAUCUCUAGGAACAGAUAAACAACAGCUCAACCUUCCCAUAUCAUAUCCGUUAACAACUUAGACUUCAGAUCAAGUACUCUCUCCACAAGUUUAGGUUUUAGAGUAGGUUUAAAUUAUAACAGUUAUGCCUAAACUUGAGUGAGAUUUCAAUUUUGAGAACUAGUCAUGGCAGAGCAACUAUUUAUCAUAUCCAUGUAAGAGUUUAUCAUUUAAGUUCAGUUUGGCCUAGACACUUUAUUUAUUUAUUUAGCAAACUAAACAAAGAUAUAUAUAAGCACAAAAUUUUUAUUUGGGUUUUCAUGAUUAUGCAUCUUUUUAUUAUUUGAGUAAAGUAUAAAUGCGAGUAGAAACACUUAGCUGGAUAAAUGGUGGUGCUCUCCCCCAAGCUGAAUUUUGACGUAAUUUCUUCUGAUGUAGCUAGCAGGUGACAGAGGUGUAUUUGAAUGUUGGUAGCACCGUGACAGCGAUUAGGAUGUCCUCCGUCUGCUAGUCUUCUUUGAUCCUUGAAUUCUGUGGAGCUCAAAUAGACAACAAAGCUUUGUGGAACUAGUUAAGUGUUAGCAUAAAAUCUCUUAGCCUUUAUCAUAUUGACAUUCCUCCUAAUAAAUUUUAUUUAUUUAGCAGGAUCAUGCACUUAUUAUUUUUAUAUUUUUAUUGUAAGAUGAAAACAUAUUUAUUUCAUGCCACCACAGUCAAUAUACCUAUGGGUUUUAAACCACAAGUCUCCUCACAUGGGGCUUUAGAUUUUAUGAUGCAGUGCAAUGAACAAAUAUUUUUGUUUUAUUUUCUAAUGCUAAUGUGGAAAAGUAAAUAUGCUAAUGCAAGUGAUGGAAUAAAAAGGAAAAGGAAUGCAGAAAAGAUAAAUAUGGAUAAAUACCAAUUUUACCUUCCGUCAAGGAUCCAAUGUUUUAAGUCUUCCAGAUAAGACUUCUCCGUUUUCUCAGUCGUCCUGGGAUUCGCUGGAUGGCGUAGUCGGUGGUUCUGGCGGCGCCUCCUCUUCGUGUAUAACUAUCUUCUCUCUCCACACCUGACUCGGUGCUACGGCCUCCUCAGGACAGUUCUCUUCAAGCUGUAUGUCUUCAGACCUUACCACUUCUUCUUCGUAGUGUGCCCAUCCGUCCUUGAUGAUUUGCCUCCUCUGGUUGCGGUUGCCUCGUCUUCUUCUUGUCCUGACCUGCUUAGGGUCUUUAACUAUAUAGUUAGGGUCAGUAAAAUAGCGGUGUACUGUAGCACCCGGUUUUAAGAACAAAACCAGACACACACACCAUAUGUGAGCCCAGGAAGUCAAAUCUCACAUAUAGCCACAAAUAGGGGUAAUAUCAAUAGACAAUGCUUAUAUAUAACGAACUUAGUAAAAAAGAUAUAACCUUAGGUAGCAAACAACGGAAAGUCACUCCGUUCUUCAGGCGAAAGCUCCAAAUCCACAGGGACAACUGACUGGUUGAGCACAAGCCUAAACUCUUCUCCAAACUUGCAAUCUGGUACCCAUCCGGGAUUUUUAUCCAAAUAAAAUGUAAAGGCAAGCGUAAGUACAUCUCAUACUCAGCAAGAAUAACAUAGGGUUCAUGAGACUCAAAGGCUAGACACUGGUUGAACUGCAUGUAGCUUUUAGUUGUCACAAUUUUAGCAUAUGAGUAGCAUCAAGUUGUCAAAUCCCAUAGUAAACUCAUGAUCAAGUAAAGUGAAUAAAGAAUAGC